RNAcentral lists this ribosomal RNA (611 nucleotides) under Bacillus sp. (in: firmicutes). RNAcentral describes it as "bacterial SSU rRNA". It matches the Rfam family "Bacterial small subunit ribosomal RNA", at positions 155 to 751 of the family's 1533-position model. The record is from RNAcentral. Lineage: Bacteria; Bacillati; Bacillota; Bacilli; Caryophanales; Bacillaceae.
AACCGGAGCUAAUACCGGAUAGUUCCUUGAACCGCAUGGUUCAAGGAUGAAAGACGGUUUCGGCUGUCACUUACAGAUGGACCCGCGGCGCAUUAGCUAGUUGGUGAGGUAACGGCUCACCAAGGCGACGAUGCGUAGCCGACCUGAGAGGGUGAUCGGCCACACUGGGACUGAGACACGGCCCAGACUCCUACGGGAGGCAGCAGUAGGGAAUCUUCCGCAAUGGACGAAAGUCUGACGGAGCAACGCCGCGUGAGUGAUGAAGGUUUUCGGAUCGUAAAGCUCUGUUGUUAGGGAAGAACAAGUGCAAGAGUAACUGCUUGCACCUUGACGGUACCUAACCAGAAAGCCACGGCUAACUACGUGCCAGCAGCCGCGGUAAUACGUAGGUGGCAAGCGUUGUCCGGAAUUAUUGGGCGUAAAGGGCUCGCAGGCGGUUUCUUAAGUCUGAUGUGAAAGCCCCCGGCUCACCGGGGAGGGUCAUUGGAAAACUGGGAAACUUGAGUGCAGAAGAGGAGAGUGGAAUUCCACGUGUAGCGGUGAAAUGCGUAGAGAUGUGGAGGAACACCAGUGGCGAAGGCGACUCUCUGGUCUGUAACUGACGCUUGAGG